Molecule: ribosomal RNA, 376 nt
Filed under: uncultured bacterium
Lineage: Bacteria
Description: bacterial SSU rRNA
Rfam family: Bacterial small subunit ribosomal RNA
Source: RNAcentral
UAAUACAGAGGGGGCAAGCGUUGUUCGGAAUUACUGGGCGUAAAGGGCGCGUAGGCGGCCCUCUAAGUCGAACGUGAAAUCCCUGGGCUCAACCCAGGAACUGCGUCCGAGACUGGGGGGCUAGAAUCCGGGAGAGGGAUGUGGAAUUCCAGGUGUAGCGGUGAAAUGCGUAGAUAUCUGGAGGAACAUCGGUGGCGAAGGCGGCAUCCUGGACCGGUAUUGACGCUGAGGCGCGAAAGCCAGGGGAGCAAACGGGAUUAGAUACCCCGGUAGUCCUGGCCCUAAACGAUGAAUGCUUGGUGUGGCGGGUAUCGAUCCCUGCCGUGCCGAAGCUAACGCAUUAAGCAUUCCGCCUGGGGAGUACGGUCGCAAGGCU